RNAcentral lists this ribosomal RNA (274 nucleotides) under uncultured bacterium. RNAcentral describes it as "partial 16S ribosomal RNA". It matches the Rfam family "Bacterial small subunit ribosomal RNA", at positions 523 to 796 of the family's 1533-position model. The record is from RNAcentral.
AUACGGAGGGUGCAAGCGUUACGCGGAAUUACUGGGCGUAAAGCGUACGUAGGCGGUUAAGUCAGUCAGAUGUGAAAGCCCUGGGCUCAACCUGGGAACUGCAUUUGAUACUGCUUGGCUAGAAUAUGGUAGAGGGAAGUGGAAUUCCGGGUGUAGCGGUGAAAUGCGUAGAGAUCCGGAGGAAUACCAGUGGCGAAGGCGGCUCCCUGGCUUAAAACUGACGCUGAGGUACGAAAGCGUGGGUAGCAAACAGGAUUAGAAACCCCGGUAGUCC